Coffea arabica (coffee) is the source of this 1235-nucleotide non-coding RNA. Lineage: Eukaryota; Viridiplantae; Streptophyta; Magnoliopsida; Gentianales; Rubiaceae. The record is from RefSeq and is a predicted model, not a curated record.
UUGACUGAUCUACCUGACACCUAAGGACUUCCUUUUUCUUCUUUUAUUUUUAAUUACAAUACAAUUAGCCCUUUUUAUUUUGAACUUGGAAAGAAAGAUUUAUGUGUAUGUUAUGGAUGUACGUAUACGUUUUUAUAUAUUGCUUCUCAUGAAUGGUUUUAAAGUUAUAAUACUAUAUAUAAAUCUUGUUGCCUGACCAUCAAUGAAACUGGAAAUCUUGUAAGGUGUAUGUAAGUAUAGAAAUCUGCCACUGCAGCUAGUUAAUCAGGAGGAAUAAAUGAGAGCUUGGCCGUAUUUCUAACUUUCCCAGAUUUCUUGUUGAUGAAAUAGGCACUUUAAGGUUAAAACAAAUUGUUUUAGAGCCAAAAUACCGAACAAUUUCUUUUACAAUUCCAAGAUGUUCUUCUCCUUUUGUCCUUUUCUUUUUAAAUCCAAUUUUCCAUUGUCUAUCAAGUUUGAGUAAGGGGGAUUAAGCCUUUCAAUUAACUCUUAAGAGAAUUUGGUUUUGCAGAUAUGGAAUCUAUAAGGUAAUUUUAGUUGGGUUUUCCAUUACAAGGCUAGUAAUUAAGUGAGCAAUGAAGUUCCAGAGUUGUGAUGGUCCUCUCUUGUGUGAUAUCUUUUUUUUCAAGCUAAUGAUGUGGUACCAACACUAACAUUAACACUAAUUGACGGGCAACGACAUUAAAAUAAGGUUAGCAAAAUGAUAUCCACAAUUCUAAUCCUCAACUCUAUGUGAUAGAGACAAGGUAAAAUAUGGUCAACUUUGUGUUUUUAGAUAUUCACACGUCUGUGUCUAUCCAAUAGCCAUUGCUUACUUUCUUAAUCACUUUUGUGAUUGAAUUAUUGCACUUAAUAGCAUUAAUGAAGAGAGUUCUAAUCCCGCAAAGCACCAGUAAAACUACCAUGGCAAAAAUCUAAAUCUCUGUUGAAAUUAACUUAUGCUAGUAUUUCAUUUUCACAAUUAGACUUGCAUCUUCAAGAAAAAACGUGCUAGCUAUGUGAAGUGUGUGCACUGUGCAGACAUGCAUAGUUAUUGCCUUCUUUGGUCAAGGGAGAAUGCGUGCUCUGAAAACAGGUCCAUAACUUCAUAGUAACAUCCUACAGUUCUGAAUGUUAGGGCUUUGUUGACAUGACACUUGAUUUUCUUUUUAUUUUUUGAGGAAGUGCACCUUCAUUUUCACCUACUUGUCUAACCUUCCUAUCAAAAAAAUUUUAAAAAUUAAGUGUCACCUUCA